UGUCAUGGCUGACUGAGCAGGGCAGACCUGCACAUAUGCUAAAGAUCAACAGCUUCUGCAGCAAAAGGACACAGUAUAAUCAGGAAAUCAUCAGCCUGAAGCAUUUGCACCACCAAGGUGAGCCCCUGACAUGUUCUGCCUUCCUGAAGUAUGUCCA
This is a long non-coding RNA of Melospiza melodia melodia, 157 nucleotides long. RefSeq lists it as uncharacterized. The record is from RefSeq and is a predicted model, not a curated record. Lineage: Eukaryota; Metazoa; Chordata; Aves; Passeriformes; Passerellidae. The transcript is spliced from 3 exons.